Molecule: unclassified non-coding RNA, 288 nt
Filed under: soil metagenome
Description: partial internal transcribed spacer 1
Rfam family: 5.8S ribosomal RNA (bases 1-113)
Source: RNAcentral
GAUGAAGAACGUAGCAAAAUGCGAUACGUAAUGGGAAUUGCAGUGAAUCAUCGAAUCUUUGAACGCACAUUGCACCCAGUGGUAUUCCACUGGGUAUGCGGAGGUGAGCGCCUUUUCAGGUUGGGAUAUGUAGUAGACAUUACGACAUUCUUGCCAUCAAGGCAAUAAUAUUUGUCAAUUCUGCCUUACAGUCCUGAAAUUAGUUACAUGGUACAUACCAAAUUCAUACAUAGGGCCUCAUCGUCGUAGGAAGACCCGCUGAACUUAAGCAUAUCAAUAAGCGGAGGA